Non-coding RNA from Faecalibacterium prausnitzii, 166 nucleotides. The record is from Rfam. NCBI's taxonomy places the organism in Bacteria, Bacillati, Bacillota, Clostridia, Eubacteriales, Oscillospiraceae.
CGUUGACGCCAAGCGCCGGGCCACGCGGGUGACAGCCGCGAGGGUGACGAGGAGAGGAAUCAUCGAAAAUUUCGGCGGAUGUUUCUCCGGUUGAAUGGGCUAUACCAGCCGCAAAGAGGGGCAAAAAACGGCAGUGAUACCGCAACAGAUCCCCUUGAACGAAAGC